GGAAUUUAUUCCGGAUUUGGUUCGGUUAUUAGAUUGUUUACAGUUUGAUCCGGCAUAGGCCAUGCUUGUUUUUAUAGCAAAAGUUGAUUUGUGUUUUGGUGUUUGUGCCCCUAAAGAUUUCCACCCUCGGUGAGAGAGGUUUGUGAGCACUGAGCUGACCAAUAAACAUUUUCUCAAAUUUUA
This is a long non-coding RNA of Ostrea edulis (European flat oyster), 183 nucleotides long. RefSeq lists it as uncharacterized. NCBI's taxonomy places the organism in Eukaryota, Metazoa, Mollusca, Bivalvia, Ostreida, Ostreidae. The record is from RefSeq and is a predicted model, not a curated record. The transcript has 2 exons.